This 75-nucleotide small RNA is filed under the name Sphingobium wenxiniae. RNAcentral's name for it is "suhB". It matches the Rfam family "Makes More Granules Regulator RNA (mmgR)". From Rfam's summary of the family: SuhB later renamed mmgR (makes more granules regulator) was a putative non-coding RNA found multiple times in the Agrobacterium tumefaciens genome and related alpha-proteobacteria. Lineage: Bacteria; Pseudomonadati; Pseudomonadota; Alphaproteobacteria; Sphingomonadales; Sphingobiaceae. The record is from RNAcentral.
GGAACGGGCCUUUCAGGCAUCCUCUCCUAAAAACUUCACAAGCCGUCCUUCGGGGCGGCUUUUUUUUUGCCUUGG